Long non-coding RNA from Etheostoma cragini (Arkansas darter), 118 nucleotides. RefSeq lists it as uncharacterized. The transcript has 4 exons. NCBI's taxonomy places the organism in Eukaryota, Metazoa, Chordata, Actinopteri, Perciformes, Percidae. The record is from RefSeq and is a predicted model, not a curated record.
GUCAAAUUGUAAGGAAAAUGUGAACUGCUGCAACAAGUCAGGCCUGCACGGUUCUUUCAGGGAAUGAUUGUAAAGAUUUACAAAGAAUACGUUUAUCACGUUUAGUCUCUUAAUGGGA